Molecule: ribosomal RNA, 424 nt
Filed under: uncultured bacterium
Lineage: Bacteria
Description: bacterial SSU rRNA
Rfam family: Bacterial small subunit ribosomal RNA
Source: RNAcentral
UAAGGAAUAUUGGACAAUGCCCGCAAGGGUGAUCCAGCCAUGCCGCGUGCAGGAAGACGGCCCUAUGGGUUGUAAACUGCUUUUAUACCGGAGAAAACCUCUUCUCGUGAGAAGAGCUGAUAGUAUGGUAAGAAUAAGCAUCGGCUAACUUCGUGCCAGCAGCCGCGGUAAGACGAAGGAUGCAAGCGUUAUCCGGAUUCAUUGGGUUUAAAGGGAGCGUAGGUGGCCUUAUAAGUCAGUGGUGAAAUCUCUCGGCUUAACCGAGAAAUUGCCAUUGAUACUGUAGGGCUUGAGUAUAGUUGCCGUUGGCGGAAUAUGACAUGUAGUGGUGAAAUACAUAGAGAUGUCAUAGAACACCGAUUGCGAAGGCAGCUGACGAAACUAUAACUGACACUGAGGCUCGAAAGUGCGGGGAUCAAACAGG